This 253-nucleotide ribosomal RNA is filed under the name uncultured bacterium. RNAcentral describes it as "partial 16S ribosomal RNA". It matches the Rfam family "Bacterial small subunit ribosomal RNA", at positions 524 to 776 of the family's 1533-position model. The record is from RNAcentral.
UACGGGGGGGGCAAGCGUUGUUCGGAAUUACUGGGCGUAAAGGGCUCGUAGGCGGCCAACUAAGUCCGACGUGAAAUCCCCAGGCUUAACCUGGGAACUGCGUCGGAUACUGGAUGGCUUGAAUUCGGGAGAGGGAUGCAGAAUUCCAGGUGUAGCGGUGAAAUGCGUAGAUAUCUGGAGGAAUACCGGUGGCGAAGGCGGCAUCCUGGACCGACAUUGACGCUGAGGUUCGAAAGCUCGGGGAGCAAACAGG